CCUCUGCGAAAAGAGCGGGAAUUCAAAUUCUCAGAGACCUGUAGUUUUCAACUGUCAGUCCUGACCGGAGCAGCAGUACUUUUUUCAAGGGAAAGCGGGAAGCUGCCUUUACUAAGGAGAAGUAGAAGGCCUUUAUCUCAAAAAAGAAAAAGUUGAGUCCUGCAGAAGUUGCAUUCUUAAGGGAGUACUGUACCACCAUGAAGCCACUGGUGAAAGCUUCAAACAUCCUCCAGUCUGAGUUUUCUGCCUUUAUGGGAUGGCUGCUACCAGUAGUCGAACAACUACUGACCAAACUUGGCAGGCUAGAGACAUCAAGCAAGACAUGCGUGCCACUCAUCAGAGCCCUGCAAAAUGGCAUUCAAAAGCGAUUUGGACCAAUGAUGAAGGAUCCAGAGUUGGCUGCAGCUGCAGUCCUCUUACCCAAGUUCAAGACUUCCUGGACUGACAGAGCAGAUGUUAUAGAGGCUGGUAAUGCCAGGCGUUUUUGUGUAUUGUUGUGUUUGAACACAUGUAUAAGUGAGUAUACUUUAUAACAUCUCAGUCAUGGUUCACCUAAUACAGUUGUGCUUGAAAGUUUACGUGCCCUCCCAUUAAAGAAGGAAAAAAUCAGCUGUUACUGAAAUAAGUUGAAAUGACAAAAGUAGUAAUAAAUAGAAAUUUGAUAAAAAUCAUGACAUUGAUUUUGUAUU
Long non-coding RNA from Girardinichthys multiradiatus, 689 nucleotides. RefSeq lists it as uncharacterized. The record is from RefSeq and is a predicted model, not a curated record. The transcript is spliced from 3 exons. Lineage: Eukaryota; Metazoa; Chordata; Actinopteri; Cyprinodontiformes; Goodeidae.